UACUCUUUUGAUUUCCAGAUGCUGCUCCAAG
RNAcentral lists this non-coding RNA (31 nucleotides) under Rattus norvegicus (Norway rat). The record is from RNAcentral. Lineage: Eukaryota; Metazoa; Chordata; Mammalia; Rodentia; Muridae.